Molecule: non-coding RNA, 101 nt
Organism: Phyllosticta citrichinensis
Lineage: Eukaryota; Fungi; Ascomycota; Dothideomycetes; Botryosphaeriales; Phyllostictaceae
Source: the annotation of a GenBank genome assembly
GCCAGCUUGGCGCAGGGGUAACGCGUCGCACUUGUAUACGAAGACUUAAUCUUUGGAAUUAUGCAAUGCGAAGAUCGUGUGUUCGAUUCACACAGUUGGCA